This 139-nucleotide ribosomal RNA is filed under the name uncultured eukaryote. RNAcentral's name for it is "partial 18S ribosomal RNA". It matches the Rfam family "Eukaryotic small subunit ribosomal RNA", at positions 1299 to 1458 of the family's 1831-position model. The record is from RNAcentral.
UGGUGGAGUGAUUUGUCUGGUUAAUUCCGAUAACGAACGAGACCUCAGCCUAUUAAAUAGAUGAGUUCAUGCUUGCAUGGAUUUUGUCUUCUUAAAGGGACUUUCGGUAUCUAGCCGAAGGAAGUUUGAGGCAAUAACA